Non-coding RNA from Microtus ochrogaster (prairie vole), 462 nucleotides. Lineage: Eukaryota; Metazoa; Chordata; Mammalia; Rodentia; Cricetidae. The record is from the annotation of a RefSeq genome assembly.
AGAAAAAAAGACCAUUGCUUAAGGAUGUGGACGCUUCUACUACUUUUCCUGGGCCAAGGCUCUGUGUUCAGUGUCCUCGUCUACCAAAAGCCCCAAAGGGUCAUCUGUCAAAGUGGAACCUCGCUGAAAAUCCAGUGUGUGCUUGACAGUCAAGUUGCUGGGAUGUUCUGGUACAGACAGAUCCCAGGACAGAGCUUGGUGUUCAUGGCAGCUGCAAAUGAAGGCUCAGAUGCCACAUAUGAGAACGAAUUCAACAAGGACAAGUUUCCUAUCAGCCGCCCAAGCCUAACAUUCUCCACGUUGACAGUGAGCAAUGCGAGGCCUGAAGACAGCAGCUUCUAUUUCUGCAGUGCUGGAGACACAGUGCUGGUUACAAGUGAGAGAUCUCAGCAAGAACCCCAUCUCCUUCCACCCAGCUCUACUGAGAUGAGCCUAAGGACCCUGCCAAUGUACUCAGCAUGA